UACGGAGGGCGCGAGCGUUGACCGGAUUCACUGGGCGUAAAGCGCGUGUAGGCUGUCUGGCAAGUCUGGUGUGAAAGCCCGGGGCUCACCCCCGGAAGUGCACUGGAAACUGCCAGACUCGAGUCCCGGAGAGGAGAGUAGAAUUCCUGGUGUAGCGGUGAAAUGCGUAGAUAUCAGGAGGAAUACCGGUGGCGAAGGCGGCUCUCUGGACGGUGACUGACGCUGAGACGCGAAAGCGUGGGGAGCAAACAGG
This 253-nucleotide ribosomal RNA is filed under the name uncultured bacterium. RNAcentral describes it as "partial 16S ribosomal RNA". It matches the Rfam family "Bacterial small subunit ribosomal RNA", at positions 524 to 776 of the family's 1533-position model. The record is from RNAcentral.